CCCUGCUGGGCUUUCUGGAAAAUUCUUCCAUCAUUACUUUGCGUUUCUGCUCUUUCGAUUCGCCGCAAAUACUUCUAGUGCGCGCUCACACAUCAUUCCUCCUCGUCCUCUUCCUUUAGUCUCUCACUUUCCUUUCCUCGCCCUCACUCUCAUCCCCCUGUUCUCUCUCUCUCUCCCUCUCUCUCUCUCUCUCUGUCUCUCUCUCUCACGCGCGCUGUCGCUGCACGCUGCGCCGAGAUUUUCUAUUACCGGUGUAAUUGCGCAUUCCGCAGUGACAAGAGCUCAUUAGGUCUUAAUUACACAUGUGUUAUUAGUACAAACAUCUCCGUUCGGCUUCCUUUUUACACGGUAAUUGUACUGUGGGGACGGCCGUUUGAGACGGCGGGCAGAUCGGAGUGUGUGCGCCGCUGACGAGGGAAGGAUGGAAGUAGGUCAGGAACAGUAGCGGUAAACAUGCGGCGCUGGAAUAAAAUAAUACUCUCUGUUUCCCUCUCUCUCUCUCUCUCUCUCUCUCUGAACAUGCACAAAGACACACACACACACAUUAGAUAUCAUGCCAAAGCCAGUGAGAUCCAGUGCUCAUGUAAUAUUUACAGUACACUAAUAGAUAGAUGACAGGUUUGUUUUUUUCUGAAAGGAAGAGAGAGAGAGAGAGAGAGAGAUGACGCCCCCCUCCAAUUCAUUUGAAUUUCAGAGAAAGCUCAGGGACUACAUUAAUACAUUUGCGCAUGGUGCAUUAGUGUGUUAGUUAUGCACGUGUGUGUGUGUGUGUGUGUGUUUACUGGUGUACGUGUUUGUCUUUCCGCACGACUUUGUGAAAAACGCGUACACGGACCAUUUGAUUCGCUUGAGAAAUGAUGCUGAGCGACUGACAUUUCCUUCUCCGUCCUCGGUGUCCUCGUCUGCUGUCUUCUUGCGCUUCCUUCCUGCUUCGGUCCAACCCGUGCGCCUGUCCUGCGUUUAAACCUUCUUUUACGUUACACCUGGUGACCUCCUUGAUUCACGACGAGCCUCCCGUCUUGCGCGUGACUGACACGCGCGCGCGCGCACUCGAGGGGGGGCGAACUUCAACUGCACACAUCAAACGACAGUGAGGCUGCCAGUACUGUAUUCAUCAUUUCCUCUCUCUCUCUUUUUUUUCUCUUCUUCUUCUUCUUCUUUUCUUCCACCUCAAUCAGGAUAAAAAUAAAGAGCAGUAGCUGUAAUGACAGUCGCUCGAGCUGCUGUAUCCUCCGUGCGGGCUGAAUAAUGUCCUAGCUCGGCAGAAUCUAAUAGGCUCCUUCUCUCUUAGAUGUGCAGCCCUAGAAUGGCGCUUAUGAAAUAUUAAUAUUACACAAAAAAUAUGGCAACUCCGACUCACUCCAUCUCUCAAACUCUAACGCAAUUGACUAUGCGAGCCUUCCAAAUCAGACGGAGGGGAGAGGAGAGGAGGGGCGGGGGAGGGAAUUUGACUUGAAUAUGAGGAGCAUGUCACGGGGAGAAGAAGAAGAAGAAGAAGAAGAAGAAGAAGAAGAAGGGACGAGGCGGGGGAGGGGUGGGAUGAGAGAAGAGGGGCAGCAUGAGCAGAAAAACACAGGUAAGAAUAGCAGAUGUUUGGUUGAUGGUAUCAGGGCAACACAGAACGUGAAAAAGAGGUGCUGCCCUUCCUAAGGUCUCACGACACACACACACACACACACACUGUGGCCACAAAAAACGACAGACCCUGCUAGCAUUAGAUAAGGAAUAUUGCUAACGUCUCAGACUCAGACAGAAGCACCUGUCAGUUUGUUGGUUAAACCUAAACCGGACGUUUGCGUCCCCCUCGGCGCGAUCUCAACACGUGGUGAUGCCUUAAAGCCCGGCAUAAUUGUCGCACCAGUGAGACUCGCCGCGUCGGUGGCUUCAUUUCUACAACUUGCACCUUUUCCCCGUUCUCCGGUGGCAUUUCUACGGCGUGAUGGAUUCUAAAAUUGUGACGUAAAAAGCGUUUGAGCCUGAGCAUGACGACAGCUCGCUGGGCCAAAGCGCAACACACUAUAAAAAUCACAUCUUAUAGCUCCGGAAGAGUGCGUUAUUGUGUCCACAAGACAGGUGAUAAUCUCCCUGGAGAUUUAAAAAAAAAAAAAAGAAAAGAAACAUAUAUAUAUAUAUAUAUAUUUUUUGUCGCUCGAUAACUUGGUAGAAAGCGACAUAAAAGCCGUUGGCGAGCCUCUGUGUGCAGAACGUGUGAAGUGCGGCAUCGACAGAGAUAGCGGCGUAUAAAAGGUGACAGCAGAAGCCAGCAUUGGCUCGUGACCUUAAAUUUGCCGGGGCAGGAGGACACUAAUAACGACAAAAGUCGAGAGGCUAUCGCACUUGACUCAUGCUACAGGCGACUAUCUAGUGAAAUUUCAGAGUAUCUCUGUAAUAGACAGUUGAGAAGCGUCAGCAUGUAAUCAUCCGGCGUGCAGUCUAGCAGCAUGUUUUCAGCAGUAUUUCACCGUCCCUUCUUCACCAAGUGUGUUUCCCGUCACCCGAGAAGCCCACACACACGCACGCAUACACAACGGCUAAUAUCAUUAAGCAGGGUUGCCAGGUUUCAGCAAAAAAUUCCCAGCCCGACUCCAUAUUUCAGCAUAUAUGAGAUUAUAAAAUGUGAGCCUAUAUUCCAGAAGUCUAAUCUUUCUGUGUUUUUCGCUCAGAGAGAUCAGACAUCGGUUUGCUUGAUGAACUUUCUGCCUCGGGAUAAAGCCGCUGUGGAGCCGCUACAGAGAUUUCCAGCCCAAUUACGUCUCAAAAACACACAAGAAGACCUCAAACUAGCUUAAAAAGUUUGAGCAUUGGAAAAGGGAGACGCAUUUUUCUUUGUUUUUGUUUUUUUUCACGCGGAACGAAAAGGUCACUGUUGGCACUCGGAUUUCUGAUGCCAUCAAAGGGGGUGGCACGGUGGCUUAGCAGUUAGGGUUGGAGGCUCAAAUCCCACCCCCGACCCUGCGUGCACGGAGCCUGCAUGUUUCCUCCGGGUAACUCCGGCUUCCUCCCCCAGUCCAAAGACACUGAACGGCAUUUCCAAAUAUGUGCGAAUGUAUGUGGGAUUGUCCCCUGCGAUGGACUGGCACCCCGCCCAGGGUGUCCCCUGCUUUAUUCCCCAAAGUUCCCCGGAUAGGCUCCAGGCCAUGGUACAGAAAAUGGAUCAAUGGAUCACAGACAUCAUAGACACACUGCCUACACUUACUGUUUGUACAAAUACAUCACAUUUAAUUCCAAUUACAUGGUAUAGAGCCAAGAUCUUGGCAGCCAUGGAGUAUUUUAAGCGAGGUCAAUUUGGAGUAAAAUCCAUGACCCUGGCAACCCGGUCAUCAACUCUCCUCCUCCACUGAUAAUGUCCGGUGAUUCCUGUCCCAGUGCGUCUCUAUUAGCGCUUUCUCAUUUUUCCAGUUUGCAUUUUAGCCCACUCGGUGCAAUAAUAACUUCCCCACGACUGCGCAACUCCUAAAAAGGCGAGCAAAUCAAUGGAACUUCUGGCAUACAUCGGUCAAAAAGCACCAUUUAUUACAUAACUGGUCACUCAAAAGAGGUGGAUAUGUACGGAUCUGUGAAUUAAGACUAUAAAUAUAUAUAUAUAUAUAUAUAUCUAGAAGGACAUCACCGAUCUGGUGCAGCAAGAGAACACUCAUCAAAGGGCGUUUUUUGAAUUUACAGUACAGAAGGUUUAC
This is a long non-coding RNA of Ictalurus punctatus (channel catfish), 3677 nucleotides long. Lineage: Eukaryota; Metazoa; Chordata; Actinopteri; Siluriformes; Ictaluridae. The record is from Ensembl.